GGCGCGGUGGCAGAGUGGUGAUGCAGAGGACUGCAAAUCCUUGUAUGCCGGUUCGAUUCCGGCCCGCGCCUCCA
Molecule: transfer RNA, 74 nt
Filed under: Rhodospirillales bacterium RIFCSPLOWO2_12_FULL_67_15
Lineage: Bacteria; Pseudomonadati; Pseudomonadota; Alphaproteobacteria; Rhodospirillales
Also listed under: 2 other names
Description: tRNA-Cys
Rfam family: tRNA
About the family: Transfer RNA (tRNA) molecules are approximately 80 nucleotides in length. Their secondary structure includes four short double-helical elements and three loops (D, anti-codon, and T loops). Further hydrogen bonds mediate the characteristic L-shaped molecular structure. tRNAs have two regions of fundamental functional importance: the anti-codon, which is responsible for specific mRNA codon recognition, and the 3' end, to which the tRNAs corresponding amino acid is attached (by aminoacyl-tRNA synthetases). tRNAs cope with the degeneracy of the genetic code in two manners: having more than one tRNA (with a specific anti-codon) for a particular amino acid; and 'wobble' base-pairing, i.e. permitting non-standard base-pairing at the 3rd anti-codon position.
Source: RNAcentral